Molecule: ribosomal RNA, 773 nt
Filed under: uncultured Neocallimastigales
Lineage: Eukaryota; Fungi; Neocallimastigomycota; Neocallimastigomycetes; Neocallimastigales
Description: partial large subunit ribosomal RNA
Rfam family: Eukaryotic large subunit ribosomal RNA
Source: RNAcentral
AGAGAGAGACAUGCGCGCAUAUCAAUAAGCGGAGGAAAAGAAACUAACAAGGAUUCCCCUAGUAACGGCGAGUGAAGCGGGAAGAGCUCAAAUUUGAAAUCUUAAAGGGUUUCCCUUUACGAAUUGUAGUUUAAAGAAGUGUUUUCUGUUGAGGUUUUGGUAAAAGUUCUUUGGAAUAGGACAUCAUAGAGGGUGAGAAUCCCGUAUUUGACCUUUACUUUCAACUUUGUGAUACACUUUCAAAGAGUCGGAUUGUUUGGGAAUGCAGUCCAAAAUGGGUGGUAAAUUUCAUCUAAAGCUAAAUAUUGGCGAGAGACCGAUAGCGAACAAGUACCGUGAGGGAAAGAUGAAAAGAACUUUGAAAAGAGAGUUAAACAGUACGUGAAAUUGUCAAAAGGGAAGCGUUUGACACCAGUGUUGUUUUUCUGAAAAUCAAUUAAAGAACUGUUUAUGCUAAGUUGUUUAGACUUUAUCAGCUAACUGUUUAGUUUUGAGCUUUUCUUUAAUGCACUUUUCAGUUAACAAGUCAACAUCAAUUUCUUUUGCUGUAAAAAAGCUUGAGGAAGGUGGCUUGAGAUUCGUCUUAAGUGUUUAUAGCCUCUUGCCUAUGCAGUCGGAGAGAUUGAGGUCUGCAGCGUAGAUCCUUCGGGGCUAAAUGCAUUUGUGCUAAGUUAUAACAUUUUAUAGACAACUUGUUGACUAUGAUUUGUCUUGUAGCUUACUCGCUUAUGUUAUUUUACCUACGCUUAGGAUGUUGACGCAUGAGAUAUACG